Molecule: long non-coding RNA, 2416 nt
Organism: Esox lucius (northern pike)
Lineage: Eukaryota; Metazoa; Chordata; Actinopteri; Esociformes; Esocidae
Source: Ensembl
AUAGAAGACAGCAUCAGUGUUAGAAGAAAAAGAUCCAUCGCUAAUUGGAAUUUUCUAGAUAAUUAAAGUAAUGAAUUGCUAGCCACAGGAUGAGAUAUGAAAAACCAGACCUUGAUAUGAGUUAGCAAAGACAAUAGAAAAAUUUGCUAAUAACUUAUUUCUCUCUUCUCAAGGUGGAAAGGUAAAAUGGUUGCCUGGGAAAUAAACUGUCCUGACCCGGAAGUGAGUGGUAAUGAGAAAGAGAUUGAGCGAGAGGAUGCUCUGUGGAGAAACUCACUGAGAGUAAUUUCACCCCACUCUGCCCAGAGCAACUGAGUGACUGAGCGACAACUUCAACCCUCUCUCCUUCCAACCUGCCCCUUGUACUGCAGCACCAGCCCUUUCACAGAGAGGUGUGAUCCCUCAAAACCCCCUGCUGUGAAGCAUCAAUCCCCCUAAACACACACCAUGCCUAUGUCCAAGUCCCACAUUUGGGAAGCUGGCACAUCUGGCUUGCAAUCAAUGUUAUGUACGCUUGCUGUCUUGAUGACGUCCAUCGCCUUGCACUGGAGUCUGCUGCGCUGUGGAAUGUCUGUUGGAGGGUUGUUAUCUUGUAUAUUGUAUUUAUAUCUCAUGAGUAUUCUCUCAUCCCCCACCCCUUUUUUUCUAUUUCUGAUUGUAUGGAAUAUGUUCCCCAUAUCUCAUGUUAUGUAAGACUCAGAUUCAAGGAUAAUGUUUGGAUUCUGCAGAAAUUUUAAUUUAACUAUGGUACAGAUUUGAUUUCAAUGGCAGCAUCCGAUAUCAUUGAUUACAGACAAUGACUUAAUGUGAAUCCAUGGAGAGUGAUUUGAAUGCCAACAGAAGUGCAGCAGUCUUAAGACGUUUAACCUUUGACAUGUUCUCUGUCACACUGUACUUCACUGUUUGGCCUGACAAUAUAUUUUCAGCUAUAGCUGUAGAUAAACACACUUCACUGCCUAACUGACUGUGAAAAAAAUAUAUUGCUACUUUCUGAACUAUAAGUGUGUCUUUAAAUAUCAUGUUAAAAUACAAUAAAAACUAUUAUCUCACCCUGGUUUGAAAAUAUGAAAGGUAUUUCGUGACACUGAAUUAAUCAAUUAAUAAAUUGCAGUGGAUUAUCAUGUACAUAUGCAUGGUAAGAGUAGCAUAAUCUCAAUGUUCGGUUGUCUUGUACUUUCAAAUGAAACUGCUUGAUCUCUUGAAAUUGUCUGGUGAGCGAAGGGGUAUGUAGCCUAACAGGCAAGUUUUACUAGUUAUUUGGCGCCCUCUGUUGCUGACAAAGACAAUUGUUUUUGUCAGUCAUGACAUUUUAUCACUCCCACCGAGGAGGGCUGUGGGUUAAUGUUGAGAUGAAAGUCUCAAAUGUUUGCAUUUCUAUUAAUGUUCAUAUUAGCAUAUUUUGCGGUUAGAUACCCCAAACACACAUUUCCUGUAAAUUGUGUGACAAAACAGUAAGUUAUAAGUCAGCUGUAAUGGGACAAGGACUUGGCACCAGAUACCUUUUUAGAUGGCACAAAAUACUCUAAUCACAAAUCACAUGGUACCAGGCAUAGAAAAAAGCUUAUGUAGUUGUUUGUAGCUAAAUUGAUUUAGGGUUAUCACGGUCGCUCACAUGACAGAACAUCAGCAGGAAGAAAUUAGAUCCCGAGAUCUCGUUGGUUUCAAAUGCUUGAAUCUGGGUCAGCCUGAUUUACUCAUUUUUAAGUCACCUAAUAUUUACAAUUUAUGUCAAGUGCUGAUUUGGGAUAUGAUUGAUGGCUGGAUAGGCCAAUCCUACUGUGGGCACAUACUUGCCACAUUAGGGAUAAGGAGAAGAUCGCAGAUAAGCUAUUGUGCUGUUACAAAGAGGACCAAAAUUAAAACAAAAUGUCAAGACUAUACCAAAAAAGCAGACAUGGGUGAAAUUUGGAUGUCUCCUCUUCCUGACCAAAUUUGGUGAAGUUGUGCUAACAAUCAUUUAGACAUCAUGAAAAGUAAUCCAUCCUUCCUAUCUAUCCCUCAGAUGUCAAAAUGAUUGACAGCAUUGGCUUUAUACCUCACAAAGCUGACUGACCAAUGAGAUGAGGGAAAGAUUCAAAAGCCUAGACCACAGUCUGAUCACUUUCACUUGUACUUACUAUGGAUGUUUCACACAAAUCCAUGUUUGCUUAUGUAAAAGAGUAAAAAAUGAAAUACUCCAUUGUGUUUGCUGCUUAUUCUAUGGCAUUGGGUUUGGAUACACCUCCACCUUAGAGCCUGCCAAGCUUUUUGUAACACUAACUGUGAAGCUGGUAACAUUUGUACAGACUGCAUACCCAUGUACUUAAAAUGCAUAUUGUAAUAAUAACAAAUAACCUAAUUCCAUAGUAUGUAUCUGUAGCAUAGACUUAAUGGUCUUUUAUAUUUUCCAAGCUUUUAAUAGUAUGAUACAGAAAAC